AAAUCAAUUUUUACAGCAGAUUUGUUAAAAUUGAGGAGAAAGUGCUAAAUAAAAAUUAAUAUUGAUUUUUUGCAAGUUUUUAUCCAUAUCAAAAUGCGAAAGAAAUACGAUUUGCUAAUUUUUGUAGUUUAUAUCAUCUUCUCCAUUAAUUUAUUUGCUCGACCAACAGAAUCGCAAGCGAAUGGUGAAUCUUGUACCUGGCUUGGAGAAAAGCUACCGAUAAUGAAAUGUCUGAACAAUUGUGUUAGUGAAGCGCUCACAUUUCCGCGAGCGACUUGCGACGCAGGAUUAAUUUGUUGCGCGUUCGGGAGGACGUGAUCAAUCAAUAAAAUAUCUAAUAUUAAAAAUUUUGUUAAAUAAAGUUAUAAUUGUGAAGAAAUCCAAGUAAAAAUUGUGUAUUGCUUUCUUCAAA
Folsomia candida is the source of this 412-nucleotide long non-coding RNA. RefSeq lists it as uncharacterized. The transcript is spliced from 2 exons. The record is from RefSeq and is a predicted model, not a curated record. Lineage: Eukaryota; Metazoa; Arthropoda; Collembola; Entomobryomorpha; Isotomidae.